RNAcentral lists this ribosomal RNA (881 nucleotides) under uncultured bacterium. Its description in RNAcentral is "bacterial SSU rRNA". It matches the Rfam family "Bacterial small subunit ribosomal RNA", at positions 31 to 905 of the family's 1533-position model. The record is from RNAcentral.
GGGGGGUGGGGGCGGCUUACACAUGCAGUCGAGCGGGGGAAGGUAGCUUGCUACUGGACCUAGCGGCGGACGGGUGCCUUUGCUUAGGAAUCUGCCUAUUAGUGGGGGACAACAUCUGGCCUGGGAUGCUAAUACCGCAUACGUCCUACGGGAGAAAGCAGGGGAUCUUCGGACCUUGCGCUAAUAGAUGAGCCUAAGUCGGAUUAGCUAGUUGGUGGGGUAAAGGCCUACCAAGGCGACGAUCUGUAGCGGGUCUGAGAGGAUGAUCCGCCACACUGGGACUGAGACACGGCCCAGACUCCUACGGGAGGCAGCAGUGGGGAAUAUUGGACAAUGGGCGCAAGCCUGAUCCAGCCAUGCCGCGUGUGUGAAGAAGGCCUUAUGGUUGUAAAGCACUUUAAGCGAGGAGGAGGCUACUUUAGAUAAUACCUAGAGAUAGUGGACGUUACUCGCAGAAUAAGCACCGGCUAACUCUGUGCCAGCAGCCGCGGUAAUACAGAGGGUGCAAGCGUUAAUCGGAUUUACUGGGCGUAAAGCGCGCGUAGGCGGCUAACUAAGUCAAAUGUGAAAUCCCCGAGCUUAACUUGGGAAUUGCAUUCGAUACUGGUUAGCUAGAGUGUGGGAGAGGAUGGUAGAAUUCCAGGUGUAGCGGUGAAAUGCGUAGAGAUCUGGAGGAAUACCGAUGGCGAAGGCAGCCAUCUGGCCUAACACUGACGCUGAGGUGCGAAAGCAUGGGGGAGCAAACGGGAUUAGAUACCUUGGUAGUCCUUGCCGUAAACAAUGUCUACUAGCCCGUGGGGGCCUUUGAGGCUUUAGUGGCGCACCUAACGCGAUAAAGUAAACCGCCGGGGGAGUACGGGCGCCAGAACUAAAAACUCCAA